Molecule: transfer RNA, 85 nt
Filed under: Felis catus (domestic cat)
Lineage: Eukaryota; Metazoa; Chordata; Mammalia; Carnivora; Felidae
Also listed under: 3 other names
Rfam family: tRNA
About the family: Transfer RNA (tRNA) molecules are approximately 80 nucleotides in length. Their secondary structure includes four short double-helical elements and three loops (D, anti-codon, and T loops).
Source: Rfam by way of RNAcentral
GCCUGGGUGGCUCAGUCGGUUAAGCGUCUGACUUCGGCUCAGGUCAUGAUCUCGCAGUUUGUGAGUUCGAGCCCCACGUCGGGCU